ACGAGGGGAGAUCCAACCGUUGUACUGGACAGAGACUCCAUAGCACAGUACCGUAGAGUUUUUAAAUGAAAUCAUUAUAACGUGUCCAUUUUAAGAACAUCACCGUUCGAAAAUAGGCGCAGCUGAUAUCGUUUGUGAAUUCAUUUGCCGGCUCGUAUUUGGACCUUCUAACCGAGUUAUCUAUUGUCGGAACGGUUUCGUAAAAUAUUAUCGGGUAAUAUUAGUUAUCUCCGAUGCAAAAGGAAAAAAGCGAAAUGCUGAAAAAAAGAAAUAUUCGAAAGAUUCCGUCUUUUCGAGAUGAAUUGAAUCAGUCAAUAAAUGUAUAUAUAUACUAGUUUGUCAGGUUAGACGAUAAUGUCAAUGAUAAUUUGAACAUUCGAUAGUUUUAAUCAUUUGACUGGGUCGUUCGCAUGUUACGUAACGAUAGGAUCGCGUAUCGUAUACCGUUUUUCCUAUCGUGCACGUGUUGGAGAUGCCGCGACGCCGCUACAUGUACCAAAUGCAAUAGUUUCUUCGAAAAUAUUUACGACUAUGUCGUGAGCGGUAAAAACUUUGAACACAUCGUAUCGAAGCGUGUUGAUUCGCUGAUUAGGCGCUCCUUGUCACUGCACAACUGCACCUUGCGAUAAACAUUGACCCAAGAUUGUUAAGAACGAAUUCUGUCGAAUUACUGGCAUAUCUGCGACCGUUGGCGUUAUUCCGGUUCUGGUGAAUACAUAAACAUGAAAUGCAACUACAGACAUGUUAAGGACUACCUUGAACCGCCGCGGUUCGCAAGCAGUGAUCGUGAUGCAACGAAACGUGGAAAAAGUGGCGUGACAUCGAGUAUUCCAACGAAACGUUAGAGAGCACUGUUCGCAAACGAAUCGUUGCUAUGCCGUUAGAAAAAUGUUUCACGAUUAUUAUCGAAUUUAUAAAAUAACUACGUAUCCCGAUCAUAGAAUAAAGUAAACGCUGUUCUUGCUAUAAACGUCGCUUUCAUCGAUGCAACUAAUACGCGCUUAUGAAAAUAUAAUCGUUGUUUUGUUUCUACAACCUAUAGCUUGCACGAAUUAAAAUUGUGCAUUGAUUUACAAAGAAAUUAUUUGAUACACGACCGAUCGAUCGAGCAAAACCGAUUCUAUAAACUAUAAAGCAUAAAUGUUAAUGAACGUACCCCGAUUUACUGGCUUGCGUCGCUUCAAUCGAAUGAAUUCUUAACUUUGUCGCGAUAUCCUUCAAUUCCUGAAUGGUUUUCGAUUCCGGCUUAUGAUAGUUGGCCAUUUUGUCGUAUUCGAGAACUUGUAUAAGCCUGUUGAAAGCUUGGAAAAAUGCCGAUGCCGACCACGAUUCGUGCUUCCGAGCAACAAGUAGAAUUCGCGCAACCACGAUAAAAGUUGAAUAUAGAGAAGGCUCUCGACGGUCCGAGAAUUGUGUUUGUGAUAUUCCUUAAUCAUUAAUAGAUGGUUCUGCCUCUGUCUGUGCGUCAUUGUAGCGGGUGAUUUGAAUUAUAAAAGAAACCGUUUCAUCAUGGAUCCGCUAAUUGGACUUCUCAAUAAGACUGAUGACAUGUACAUAUACCUGCAUGUAUUACAGGUAUAAUAUAUCGAACUGAAUAUACUGUUAAACUCAAUUGGAGGUUUUAUGAUACAGUUUUGCAAACUAUUACUUUAAUAACAAAUUUAUUUGAUGUUUAGGAACAGGAUUCUUGACGUUACGCUAAUACGGUCGUUAUCGAAGUAUAAACGUACUGGUUCAUAAUUUUAUACGUAAUUAUUAAUGAAUUAUCGGACUAACUGUACGAUAAUCGUAAAUACGUAAAAGGUGCAAACCAAAAGUUACAAUAAAUUCGUACUGCCCUGACUA
Megalopta genalis is the source of this 1845-nucleotide non-coding RNA. NCBI's taxonomy places the organism in Eukaryota, Metazoa, Arthropoda, Insecta, Hymenoptera, Halictidae. The record is from RefSeq and is a predicted model, not a curated record.